CGCGUGGGGGACGAAGGUUUUUGGAUCGUAAACCCCUUUUGUCAAGGAAGAAGCUCUGACGGUACUUGACGAAUAAGCCUCGACNUAACUCCGUGCCAGCAGCCGCGGUAAUACGGAGGAGGCAAGCGUUAUCCGGAAUGAUUGGGCGUAAAGCGUCUGUAGGUGGCCAGCUAAGUCUGCUGUUAAAGAUCACAGCUCAACUGUGGGAAGGCAGUGGAAACUGGCAAGCUAGAGGUUGGUAGGGGUAAAGGGAAUUCCCGGUGUAGCGGUGUAAUGCGUAGAUAUCGGGAAGAACACCGGUGGCGAAAGCGCUUUACUGGGCCAGACCUGACACUGAAGGACGAAAGCUAGGGGAGCGAAAGGGAUUAGAUACCCCUGUAGUC
This 383-nucleotide ribosomal RNA is filed under the name uncultured cyanobacterium. Its description in RNAcentral is "bacterial SSU rRNA". It matches the Rfam family "Bacterial small subunit ribosomal RNA", at positions 398 to 795 of the family's 1533-position model. Lineage: Bacteria; Bacillati; Cyanobacteriota. The record is from RNAcentral.